This 447-nucleotide ribosomal RNA is filed under the name uncultured bacterium. RNAcentral describes it as "bacterial SSU rRNA". It matches the Rfam family "Bacterial small subunit ribosomal RNA", at positions 330 to 793 of the family's 1533-position model. The record is from RNAcentral.
GCCAGACUCCUACGGGAGGCAGCAGUGGGGAAUAUUGCACAAUGGGGGGAACCCUGAUGCAGCGACGCCGCGUGAGUGGAGAAGUAUUUCGGUAUGUAAAGCUCUAUCAGCAGGGACGAAGAUGACGGUACCUGCAGAAGAAGCCCCGGCUAACUACGUGCCAGCAGCCGCGGUAAUACGUAGGGGGCAAGCGUUAUCCGGAUUUACUGGGUGUAAAGGGAGCGUAGGUGGCAUGGUAAGCCAGAAGUGAAAACCCGGGGCUCAACCCCGCGGAUUGCUUUUGGAACUAUCAGGCUGGAGUGCUGGAGGGGUAAGCGGAAUUCCUAGUGUAGCGGUGAAAUGCGUAGAUAUUAGGAGGAACACCGGUGGCGAAGGCGGCUUACUGGACAGAAACUGACACUGAGGCUCGAAAGCGUGGGGAGCAAACAGGAUUAGAUACCCCGGUAA